This 3294-nucleotide long non-coding RNA is filed under the name Mytilus galloprovincialis (Mediterranean mussel). Lineage: Eukaryota; Metazoa; Mollusca; Bivalvia; Mytilida; Mytilidae. The record is from RNAcentral.
UUUAAAGGUCAUGACACAACAGCAAGUGCCCUCAGUUGGAGUAUAUACAGUUUAGGUAAACAUAAAGAUAUACAGGAUAAAGUUUAUAAAGAGGUCAGAGAGGUCGUUGGAGAUAAACAAUAUAUUGACAGGUACUUAUUGAAAUAUAUUGUUUGAUAUUAAUAAAUAUAUAUGGAGGACUCUGAACCACGAUGGUACUCUGAACUGCAAUGGUCAGGCUGAGGUGUGAUGGUUGCAUUGUAAUGUUAUCUUGUUGAAAGCUACACUGAAGUGCGAUGGUGCAGUAACGUUGAAGUGCAUUAAUUUUCAAAGCUUGUCAUGUUGAUGUAGAAGUCAAUUUGUAUGUUUACAGCAGUUUUCACGUUUUAAAGUUAAUUAACGUAUAAUAAACUUUUAAUAGUACAAGAAACAGGGAGAAUUUGUGAAUAUGGGAAAGUUAACCAUCUGUUGUGAUAAUUUUUUUUAAAUCAACAGAAUGUUCCUUUUAAGUAAGAUGAAGUGUGGCCUUUUCUACAUACAUACAGGUCUGCAGACUCUUUAUAGUAAAAUAACAGUAAACGAGAGGAACAAAGUAAAGAUAAAAAAUUUGGUCCUGAUGCAGGACAUCAAAGAGUCUCAUUUAGAAUGCACCUGAAACUAAGAACAUACAUAGACAAUAAUAAACAUAUAUACUGGCUGCUAAAAAUCUACUUCUAAUAAUGAUUGCACAUCUAAAGAUUUAAAGUAGCCAUCAUACGUCUAAUAGACAAUCCCACAUCAAUUAAAUGAUCAUUGCACUUGGGUGUAAAUUAGCCCACUUUACCGUGAUCAUCACAAUUCAUGGUCCCCACGCAACCUCUGAGUCCUACGUAUAUAGCACAAAUUUACAGAUCUAACCAUGCUAACAUUGUUUUGCUGAUGUUUAGACAAAUUAUAUAUACAGAAUGUAUUUUCAGCAUAGUAUCACCAUCACUCCUAGUGAUCCAAUGGAUAAAAUCUGUUUUAGAGUCAUAACUGGUUCAGACUUACUUAUAAUAUAAUAAUUUCUGUGACUGCAUCUUACAUUAAUUUGUAGGAUCCUCAACAAUAGAUGAUUCAGCUGAUCUGUAACAAUUCCAUCUUUAUGCUUUAUAUAUCAUCUAGCUGUGUUACGAUGCUAGAUUAAAACUGAAAAACAAAGGUAACACCCCGCCACCUCUAUUUUUAAGAGCCUAGGUGGUCAAGUGGUAUAGCACAUAGGGCAUAGUGCAAUGUAAUUUGGUGCCAUGAUAUCUCAGUAGCAUGAGUUAGAAAACAGUGUAAGGGAAGAACAAAAAAUCAUAAGGACUAGCAAAUAAGAAAAAAACAUAUAAAAAAUUAUAACAGGAAAAGCUCACAAUUACUGUUAUUUGUUGGAUUUCAAUUUUCAUCGGCUUCGUGGGGACAGGUGAACCACAAAUUCAAAUGUUCAAAAAAUAGCAUAUUUGCAAUGGUCUUUGUAUACAGAGAUCGGUAAAACCAUGAAAAUCAAGUAUCCAUGAAAAUGUAAUUUUUUCAGGAAUCCAUGAACAUUGAUACUCACAAAAAUAAAUGAACCCACAGUGUUAUAUAGGUGUGUACUAGUAGAUAUCUUUUAAAAAAAAAGCCUCAAAAGUAAAAACAAAACAAUUUGUUAAAGAAUGCUCUCUUUGGUCAAUAAUGUCACAGUAACACCCUUUUUAGCUCACCUGGCCCUGCGUCGUCAUCGUCCGUCGUCGUCGUCGUCCGGCGUUAGCUUUUACAAAAAUCUUCUCCUCUGAAACUACUGGGCCAAAUUAAACCAAACUUGGCCACAAUCACCAUUGGGGUAUCUAGUUUAAAAAAUGUGUGGUAUGACCCGGCCAACCAACCAAGAUGGCCGCCAUGGCUAAAAAUAGAACAUAGGGGGAAAAUGUCGAUUUUGGCUUAUAACUCUGAAACCAAAGCAUUUAGAGCAAAUCUGAGACGGGGUAAAAUUGUUUAUUAGGUAAAGAUCUAUCUGCCCUGAAAUUUUCAGGUAAUUCGGACAACUGGUUGUUUGGUUGCUGCCCCUGAAUUGGCAAUUUUAAGGAAAUUAUACCGUUUUUUGGCUAUUAUCUUGAAUAUUAUUAUAGAUAGAGAUAAACUGUAAACAGCAAUAAUGUUCAGCAAAGUAAGAUCUACAAAUAAGUUAAUAUGACUAAAAUGGUCAGUUGACCCCUUAAGGAGUUAUUGCCCUUUAUAGUAAUUUUUUCGAAUUUUUCGUAUAUUUUCUAAUCUUUUACAAAAAUCUUCUCCUUUAAAACUACUGGUCCAAAUUUAACCAUACUUGGCCAUAAUCAUCAUUGAGGUAUGUAGUUUAAAAAAUAUGUUUGGUGACCCUGCCAACCAACCAAAUGGCCGCCAUGGCUAAAAAUAGAACAUAGGGGUAAAAUGUAGAUUUUGGCUUAUAACUCUGAAACCAAAGCAUUUAGAGCAAAUCUGACAACGGUUGAAUUGUUUUUUAAGACAAUAUAUAUCUGCCCCACAAUUUUCAGAUGAAUUGGACAACCGGUUGUUGGGUUGUUGCCCCCCAAUUGGUAAUUUUUAAAGAAAUUUUUGCCUUUUUGGUUAUUAUCUUGAAUACUAUUAUAGAUAAAGAUAAACUGUAAACAGCAAUAAUGAUCAGCAAAGUACGAUCUACAAAUAAGUCAACAUGACCAAAAUGGUCAGUUGACCCCUUAAGGAGUUAUUGCCCUUUAUAGUCAAUUUUUGUAAAUUUUCAUUAAUUUGGUCAAUUUUUGUAAGUUUUUACAAAAUAAUUUCCUCUGUUACUAAUGAACAAAGUGCAUUAUAGAUAAAGAAAAUUGUAAGUAGCAAGAACGUUCAGUAAAGUAAGAACUUCAAACACAUCACCAUGACCAAAACACAAUUUUGUCAUGAAUCCAUGUGUCCUUUGUUUAAUAUUCACAUAGACCAAGGUGAACGACACAGGCUCUUAAGAGCCUCUAGUUUCAUGGAUAUUAUAUUUCAAUAACAUGAAAACUGUUAUCCAAUUUGGAUAAGGUCACAGUGCAUGUAUUUUCUUUCCAUUUAUCAUAUUUCAGAAAUGAAAUACUUCACAAAUUUUUGAAAGAAAUUCUUAGGCAUCACACACAUAUUUGCUUAAUUGUUUUAUUCAAGUUUUUUCUUUUUUUAAAACAUUAAAACUGUGAUUUGGUCAUAAUUUAUGUUGUUUCUUUUCAUUAAAUCCAUGUUUUUCAGUGAUGAUAUUUCCAAAAUGAAGUACUUAAGUAUGUUUGUAAAGGAAGUAUUACGAUGCCAUUCCCCAGUCCCUACAGUUAGUAGAAUGAUAAAGGA